GACGAACGCUGGCGGCGUGCUUAACACAUGCAAGUCGAACGGAAAGGCCCUGCUUUUGUGGGGUGCUCGAGUGGCGAACGGGUGAGUAACACGUGAGUAACCUGCCCUUGACUUUGGGAUAACUUCAGGAAACUGGGGCUAAUACCGGAUAGGAGCUCCUGCUGCAUGGUGUGGGUUGGAAAGUUUCGGCGGUUGGGGAUGGACUCGCGGCUUAUCAGCUUGUUGGUGGGGUAGUGGCUUACCAAGGCUUUGACGGGUAGCCGGCCUGAGAGGGUGACCGGCCACAUUGGGACUGAGAUACGGCCAAGACUCCUACGGGAGGCAGGAGUGGGGAAUAUUGCACAAUGGGCGGAAGCAGGAUGCAGCAACGCCGGGUGCGGGAUGACGGCCUUCGGGUUGUAAACCGCUUUCGCCUGUGACGAAGCGUGAGGGACGGUAAUGGGUAAAGAAGCACCGGCUAACUACGG
RNAcentral lists this ribosomal RNA (467 nucleotides) under uncultured bacterium. Its description in RNAcentral is "partial 16S ribosomal RNA". It matches the Rfam family "Bacterial small subunit ribosomal RNA", at positions 28 to 506 of the family's 1533-position model. The record is from RNAcentral.